RNAcentral lists this ribosomal RNA (568 nucleotides) under uncultured bacterium. RNAcentral's name for it is "partial 16S ribosomal RNA". It matches the Rfam family "Bacterial small subunit ribosomal RNA", at positions 355 to 914 of the family's 1533-position model. The record is from RNAcentral.
UGGGGAAUUUUGGACAAUGGGCGAAAGCCUGAUCCAGCAAUGCCGCGUGUGUGAAGAAGGCCUUCGGGUUGUAAAGCACUUUUGUCCGGAAAGAAAUCCUUGGCUCUAAUACAGUCGGGGGAUGACGGUACCGGAAGAAUAAGCACCGGCUAACUACGUGCCAGCAGCCGCGGUAAUACGUAGGGUGCAAGCGUUAAUCGGAAUUACUGGGCGUAAAGCGUGCGCAGGCGGUUUGCUAAGACCGAUGUGAAAUCCCCGGGCUCAACCUGGGAACUGCAUUGGUGACUGGCAGGCUAGAGUAUGGCAGAGGGGGGUAGAAUUCCACGUGUAGCAGUGAAAUGCGUAGAGAUGUGGAGGAAUACCGAUGGCGAAGGCAGCCCCCUGGGCCAAUACUGACGCUCAUGCACAGAAGCGUGGGGGAGCAAAACAGGAUUAGAUACCCUGGUAGUCCACGCCCUAAACGAUGUCAACUAGUUGUUGGGGAUUCAUUUCCUUAGUAACGUAGCUAACGCGUGAAGUUGACCGCCUGGGGAGUACGGUCGCAAGAUUAAAACUUAAAGGAAUUGAC